Ribosomal RNA from Ctenocephalides felis (cat flea), 4036 nucleotides. NCBI's taxonomy places the organism in Eukaryota, Metazoa, Arthropoda, Insecta, Siphonaptera, Pulicidae. The record is from RefSeq and is a predicted model, not a curated record.
CGACCUCAGAGCAGAUGAGAUUACCCGCUGAAUUUAAGCAUAUUACUAAGCGGUGGAAAAGAAACUAACUAGGAUUCCCUUAGUAGCGGCGAGCGAACAGGGAAGAGCCCAGCACUAAAUUCCGCGGCCGGAGACGUACGCUGAAAAAUGUAGUGUUAGGGAGGAUCCGAUUAUCUAGGUGCGUUGCGGCGAGUUCAAGUCCAUCUUGAAUGGGGCCAUUUACCCAUAGAAGGUGCCAGGCCCGGAUCUCUCCUCAGAGUCUAGUUGCUUGAGAGUGCAGCUCUAAGUGAGUGGUAAACUCCAUCUAAAGCUAAAUAUGACCACGAGACCGAUAGCAAACAAGUACCGUGAGUAAAAGUUGUAAAGAACUUUGAAGAGAGAGUUCAAGAGUACGUGAAACCGUUCAGGCGGAAGAUUGAAAGAAGGGAUUCAAUGUUAUCGUCGUCUUCCAUUUAUUAGCGUGCGAUCGACCGGGAUUCGUCCUGCGAUACGCCGUCAGCUUAUGCGUCAGGCGGCGAUGGUAUGCACUUCUCUCUCAGUAGGACGCGACCCGUUUGGUGUCGAUCUACGACUGCGGCGGUAGCCUGUCACGAAUUUAUUCGCGUCAGACCCCGCGUGCUCCGGUCGACUGCCAGACGGUAUAAACGAUAUGGUAUAGGGUCGCUUUUAAGCGUUCGGCCGGUUGCAAGCACGGACGGACCUGGUCCGGCAUCAAUGCCGCCUCGAGCUGUUAGCUACCGUGUCCUCGGACGGACUCUAUUACCGGUCAGCGAUGCUAUUGCUUUGGGUACUUUCAGGACCCGUCUUGAAACACUGACCAAGGAGUCUAGCAUGUGCGCGAGUCAUUAGGAAAUACAAAACCUAAAGACGCAAUGAACGUAAAGAUUUGCUUAAGUAAACUGAGGGAUGACGGGCCGCAUCUACAGAUGCGUGCUUGCAAUCCCGGGGCGUCUCACUCUCAUUGCGAGAAGAGACGCACUCAGAGCGUAAACGCUAGGACCCGAAAGAUGGUAAAUUAUGCCCGGUCAGGUCGAAAUCAGGGAAAACCCUGAUGGAGGACCGUAGCGAUUCCGACGUGCAAAUCGAUCGUUGGAACUGGGUAUAGGGGCGAAAGACUAAUCGAACCAUCUGGUAGCUGGUUCCUUCCGAAGUUUCCCUCAGGAUAGCUGGCAUUCGAUAAGCGAGUCUCAUCCGAUAAAGCGAAUGAUUAGAGGCCUUGGAGCCGAAACGACCUCAACCUAUUCUCAAACUUUAAUGGGUGAGAUAUCUGGCUUGCUUGAAUAGUGAAGCCAUAGAUUUAGAUUAGAGUGCCUAGUGGGCUACUUUUGGUAAGCAGAACUGGCGCUGUGGGAUAAACCAAACGCCGAGUUAAGGCGCCUAAACAACGCUAAUGGGAUACCAUGAAAGGCGUUGGUUGCUUAAGACAGCAGGACGGUGGCCAUGAAAGUUGGAAUCCGCUAAGGAGUGUGUAACAACUCACCUGCCAAAGCAACUAGCCCUGAAAAUGGAUGGCGCUGAACAGUUGUGCCUAUACUCGGCCGCCAGGGCAUGAUAAGCGUUCAUAAUAGUUUGUUUUGACGCCCUGGUGAGUAGCCGUUGCACACGAGUCAGUCGAUCCUAAGCCCCAGGAGAAAUCCUAUGUUGAUGUUGGUGUAUUUUAUUUUAAAUAAAAUUUCACACCCAUCGGGCGAAAGGGAAUCCGGUUCCUAUUCCGAAACCCGGCAGCGGAACCGUUUACAAGUCGGGCCCUCGUAAGAGAGUUCGUCGGGGUAUCCCAAAAUGACUUGAAGACGCCUUCGGGAAAUACGGGGAGAGUUUUCUUUUCUGUAUGAGCGUUCGAGUUCCCUGGAAUCCUCUAGAAGGAAAAUAGGGUUUGAAACGCGAAGAGCACCGCUGUUGCGGCGGUGUUUGUAUCUUCUCCUCGGACCUUGAAAAUCCAGGAGAGGGCCACGGUAGGUGUAGCGCUGGUUUGUACCCAUAUCCACAGCAGGUCUCCAAGGUAAAGAGCCUCUAGUCGAUAGAUAAAAGUAGGUAAGGGAAGUCGGCAAAUUGGAUCCGUAACUUUGGGAUAAGGAUUGGCUCUGAGUAUCGGGGCGUGCCGGGCUUGGUUGGGAAGCGGGCGUAGGCCGAUGUUCCGGGCCUGGGCGAGGUGAAACUGUCCUUGUGACUUAGAUCCGAGCUUGAUCCCGUGCCUAGGCCCCCCGCGAAUUUUUCUUUUUGCGAGGUUUCUGUGCCGGCUUCGGUCGGUCAGACGUACUCUUCAGCCGCCAUUCAACGGUCAGCUCAGAACUGGCACGGACUAGGGGAAUUCGACUGUCUAAUUAAAACAAAGCAUUGCGAUGGCCCUAGCGGGUGUUGACGCAAUGUGAUUUCUGCCUAGUGCUCUGAAUGUCAACGUGAAGAAAUUCAAGCAAGCGCGGGUAAACGGCGGGAGUAACUAUGACUCUAAUCUGCUAUUGUGAUUGACACACAAAUCGUUGGGAGCAACGUAGACAUGGAUUUAGCUCAUAAACGCAAGAUAGAGCAUUAUAAAAGUUUGGACGCCCAGAUAAAAGAGAAGUACAACGCAUCUGAAGUGAUAUAUAGUACUGUUACCUUAAAUAACAGAGGCGUGUGGCACAUGGACCCUGCAAACUUUCUGCUGUCAGGCAAAAUUAUUAAGAAAGAUGAUUUAAAGAUUAUUUCUACAAGAGUUUUGAUCGGAGGACUCAACGGUUUCAGCGCUUGGACCAAAACAACGUCCUUGAGACGCCAGGGGAUAGGGUAGAAUGAAACCUGGAAUACAGCGUGCUGCCUGCGCACAACAUACCGUCAGGCAUAAUACUAGGAGUUAGGUUUAGUGGGUAUUGCCUUCGGGCCUAAUCCCACACUACCUGGUCAACCUGGCGACCGGUGCCAAGGGAACGGGCUUGAAAAAAAUAGCGGGAAAAGAAGACCCUGUUGAGCUUGACUCUAGUCAUUGUAAGGAGACAUGAAAGGUGUAGCAUAAGUGGGAGAUAGUAAUAUCGUCUGUGAAAUACCACUACUUUCAUCGUUUCUUUACUCACUCGAUUGGGCGGAAAGCGUGCGUCGAGAACUUGCGUUCCGACUGUCACGGUUUUCUAGAGCCAACCGCAUAAGAGUGGUGUGAGGCAUUGCGCCGAUCGCCAACAAUAUUCUAGCGUGAUCCGAUUCGAGGAAACUGCAAGGUGGGAGUUUGACUGGAACGGUACAUCUGUCAAAUAAUAACGUAGUGUCCUAUGGCCAUCCCAGCGAAGACAGAAACCUCGCGUAAAGCAAAAGGGCAAAUACUGGCUUAAUCCCGUUGUUCAGUGUGCACAGGGACUGAGAAAGCAUGGCCUUUUGGCUGGAAGAGCUUUCAGCAAGAGGUGUCAGAAAAGUUAUCACAGGAAUAACUGGCUUGUGACAGCCAAGCGUUCAUAGCGACGUUGCUUUUUGAUCUUUCGAUGUCGGCUCUUCCUAUCAUUGCGAAGCAGAAUUCGCCAAGCGUUGGAUUGUUCACCCACAAAUAGGGAACGUGAGCUGGGUUUAGACCGUCGUGAGACAGGUUAGUUUUAUCCCACUGAUGAAACGUCGUUGCGAUAGUAAUCCUGCUCAGUACGAGAGGAUCCGCAGGUUCGGACAUUUGGUUGACGCACUCGGUCGAGCGGCCGGUGGUGCAAAGCUACCAUCCGUGGGAUUAUGCCUGAACGCCUCUAAGGCCGUAUCCUUUCUAGACAAAGUAAGCAACGAUAUCUCUAGGAGUCUCUAGCAACGAUAUCUAGUGAGUCGAAAGGCUCAAUACAAUGUAAUUUAUUAGGUAUUCGGCACACACCGUUUAUUGCACGAGCCGUUUUUAGCUGAAUGAGGCGCUGGACAGUGGCGGUAUCCGUCCGUUAUAUUUGUCUUGCCUAUAGCGGUCGAUCAUGGGUCACUAGUUCGAUGUAGAGAUUCGGAAUCGUUUGUAAACGACUUAGGUACCUGGCGGGGUGUUGUACUCGGCAGAGCAGUUACCACGCUGCGAUCCGUUAAGACUCUCCUUGGCUUGGGGAUUCGU